RNAcentral lists this long non-coding RNA (242 nucleotides) under Elaeis guineensis (African oil palm). RNAcentral's name for it is "long non-coding RNA (EGUI_LNC055426)". The record is from RNAcentral. Lineage: Eukaryota; Viridiplantae; Streptophyta; Magnoliopsida; Arecales; Arecaceae.
GACGUAUCAUUUGAUGGUAAAGUUCAUGAGGGAACAUGGGAUCGAUGAGCUCUAAGGUGACCAAGCCCUAUUACAGCAAUGUUGCAUGAUAGCUCUUCAAAGAGCCACACCACCCAUAGAACUCCUUGUUAAAGGAUUUGAUGCCCAUGAUAGGUCGACUGACCAAUGCAUAAAGCCUAUGGAAGACCUAACCAUGGUCCCCUUGAGGAUGGGAAGAAAGAGCGAACAGUUCCCAUUAGGUC